This 497-nucleotide ribosomal RNA is filed under the name uncultured bacterium. Its description in RNAcentral is "partial 16S ribosomal RNA". It matches the Rfam family "Bacterial small subunit ribosomal RNA", at positions 28 to 507 of the family's 1533-position model. The record is from RNAcentral.
GAUGAACGCUGGCGGCGUGCCUAAUACAUGCAAGUCGAGCGAACGGACGAGAAGCUUGCUUCUCUGAUGUUAGCGGCGGACGGGUGAGUAACACGUGGAUAACCUACCUAUGAGACUGGGAUAACUUCGGGAAACCGGAGCUAAUACCGGAUAAUAUUUUGAACCGCAUGGUUCAAAAGUGAAAGACGGUCUUGCUGUCACUUAUAGAUGGAUCCGCGCUGCAUUAGCUAGUUGGUAAGGUAACGGCUUACCAAGGCAACGAUGCAUAGCCGACCUGAGAGGGUGAUCGGCCACACUGGAACUGAGACACGGUCCAGACUCCUACGGGAGGCAGCAGUAGGGAAUCUUCCGCAAUGGGCGAAAGCCUGACGGGGCAACGCCGCGUGAGUGAUGAAGGUCUUCGGAUCGUAAAACUCUGUUAUUAGGGAAGAACAUAUGUGUAAGAAACUGUGCACAUCUUGACGGUACCUAAUCAGAAAGCCACGGCUAACUACGUG